RNAcentral lists this ribosomal RNA (483 nucleotides) under uncultured bacterium. Its description in RNAcentral is "partial 16S ribosomal RNA". It matches the Rfam family "Bacterial small subunit ribosomal RNA", at positions 30 to 506 of the family's 1533-position model. The record is from RNAcentral.
AUUGAACGCUGGCGGCAGGCCUAACACAUGCAAGUCGAGCGGAUGAAGGGAGCUUGCUCCUGGAUUCAGCGGCGGACGGGUGAGUAAUGCCUAGGAAUCUGCCUGGUAGUGGGGGAUAACGUCCGGAAACGGGCGCUAAUACCGCAUACGUCCUGAGGGAGAAAGUGGGGGAUCUUCGGACCUCACGCUAUCAGAUGAGCCUAGGUCGGAUUAGCUAGUUGGUGGGGUAAAGGCCUACCAAGGCGACGAUCCGUAACUGGUCUGAGAGGAUGAUCAGUCACACUGGAACUGAGACACGGUCCAGACUCCUACGGGAGGCAGCAGUGGGGAAUAUUGGACAAUGGGCGAAAGCCUGAUCCAGCCAUGCCGCGUGUGUGAAGAAGGUCCUCGGAUUGUAAAGCACUUUAAGUUGGGAGGAAGGGCAGUAAGUUAAUACCUUGCUGUUUUGACGUUACCAACAGAAUAAGCACCGGCUAACUUCGU